AGAGGAGAAAUCGCUGAAAUGCAGGCUUGGGACUGGGAGGAUGGAGGGAUGUCAUGUUGCUGCACCGAGCGUUAUACAGGCCUCACAGGCUGCAAGAAAAACAGAGUGAUGGAUGAGAGCCCGCCAUCUCAAGUUGCUGUUAGUCGAUUGCUGUUGGUGUUUUUCUCCUCUUCCUCUAAUAGGAGAGUUGCCCGAGCCGACGAGAGGGAUCUGUGUUGUUGCUUUCAGUGUGUGAUCUAGUAAUGAAUACCUGCUUGAAACUGUAAUCAUCCACUUAAACCAUUUGGACCCACAGCGCAAACAUGUAAUCUGAUUAUACUCAUUUUCCAUUGGACUGCUUCAUCUUCAAUGCUGGUUUAGAGUCGAGAUAAUUUAGUAAGCACAUUAAGCAAUUUGACCACUGUUAUUAACUACACAGAUUUCAUCCCAAAACAAUGUAUUUUACAAACCACAAAAAACCUUUAAUGACUUUUAAUUUGACCAUAAUGUUCCUCAAAAUAUGAGUUUGUACAGUGAAGGACUGGAUAACUUCAACAUAAACUUUUAUUUUCAUCUUCAGUCAGACAAGCUGUUGCAUAUCUAUUUAUUUUGGUUUGAUAAUAAGUUGACUGAAAUUACGUUUGUGCAUGUUUCUCUGUCAUGUCAUGAUUGUUUUUUCCCAUGACUGGAUUCUUGCAUCAUGCCUAAUAUUAAGUAUCACUCGUUUAUUUUAUAAUAUUGCAACAGGGAUAUUUGUGAAAUAACUAACAACAAAUCUAAGCUACAUUUGACUGAUUUCAGCUGCCCUGAAAAAUAAAUUUAAUAAACGCAAACUCAGGAUGUCUUGUUUACUGCUUGAAUUCUCUCAGUUCGCAGAUUUUGCAUCAAGCUACGACAUAAAUGAAACCCGCCAUUACUUCAGUUGUAUGACAAUCCAGAUGAAAGCUAACAAUAAAUACAAGGAGAUUAAAACAUGGUUCUGAAGCAUCAUCUUCCAUCAAUGUCUCUUGGUUCAUUCACAGUCAUUACAGUAAUCAGAAGGCUGCUGCUAUGAGUCCAGGUGAGA
Molecule: long non-coding RNA, 1045 nt
Organism: Lates calcarifer (barramundi perch)
Lineage: Eukaryota; Metazoa; Chordata; Actinopteri; Centropomidae
Exons: 3
Source: RefSeq, a predicted model, not a curated record